UGCUAGCCUCGGGACGCACCCGACGAGACGCGCCGUACCGGGUCAGGACAAGACGACGCACC
Molecule: non-coding RNA, 62 nt
Organism: Streptomyces decoyicus
Lineage: Bacteria; Bacillati; Actinomycetota; Actinomycetes; Kitasatosporales; Streptomycetaceae
Source: Rfam